This 397-nucleotide ribosomal RNA is filed under the name uncultured Filosa. RNAcentral describes it as "partial small subunit ribosomal RNA". It matches the Rfam family "Eukaryotic small subunit ribosomal RNA", at positions 30 to 432 of the family's 1831-position model. Lineage: Eukaryota; Cercozoa. The record is from RNAcentral.
GCUUGUCUCAAAGAUUAAGCCAUGCAUAUCUAAGAAUAACUAACAUUAUCUUGAAUCUGUGAAUGGCUCAUUAUAUCAGUUAUAGUUUACAUGAUAGUCAAUACUACUUGGAUAACCGUAGUAAUUCUAGAGCUAAUACAUGCACAAAAUCCCGACUUCACGGAAGGGAUGUAUUUAUUAGAUAAAAAACCAAUCCGGCAACGGUGCUUGGUGAUUCAUAAUAACUGUUCGAAGCGCACGGCCUCGCGCCGGCGCUAGUUCAUUCAAAUUUCUGCCCUAUCAGCUUUCGACGGUAGUGUAGUGGACUACCGUGGCGCUAACGGGUGACGGAGAAUUAGGGUUCGGUUCCGGAGAGGGAGCCUGAGAAACGGCUACCACAUCCAAGGAAGGCAGCAGG